GUGUCAGCAGCCGCGGUAAUACGAAGGGGGAUAGCGUUAUUCGGAAUCACUGGGCGUAAAGGGCGCGUAGGCGGCUUUGUAAGUCGGGGGUGAAAGCCUGUGGCUCAACCACAGAAUUGCCUUCGAUACUGCAUGGCUUGAGACCGGAAGAGGUAAGUGGAACUGAGAGUGUAGAGGUGAAAUUCGUAGAUAUUCGCAAGAACACCAGUGGCGAAGGCGGCUUACUGGUCCGGUUCUGACGCUGAGGCGCGAAAGCGUGGGGAGCAAACAGGAUUAGAUACCCCGGUAGUCC
RNAcentral lists this ribosomal RNA (292 nucleotides) under uncultured bacterium. RNAcentral's name for it is "partial 16S ribosomal RNA". It matches the Rfam family "Bacterial small subunit ribosomal RNA", at positions 505 to 796 of the family's 1533-position model. The record is from RNAcentral.